GAUGAACGCUAGCUACAGGCUUAACACAUGCAAGUCGAGGGGAAACGACAUCGAAAGCUUGCUUUUGAUGGGCGUCGACCGGCGCACGGGUGAGUAACGCGUAUCCAACCUGCCCACCACUUGGGGAUAACCUUGCGAAAGUAAGACUAAUACCCAAUGAUAUCCCACGAAGACAUCUGAAUGGGAUUAAAGAUUUAUCGGUGAUGGAUGGGGAUGCGUCUGAUUAGCUUGUUGGCGGGGUAACGGCCCACCAAGGCAACGAUCAGUAGGGGUUCUGAGAGGAAGGUCCCCCACAUUGGAACUGAGACACGGUCCAAACUCCUACGGGAGGCAGCAGUGAGGAAUAUUGGGCAAUGGGCGAGAGCCUGAACCAGCCAAGUAGCGUGCAGGAAGACGGCCCUAUGGGUUGUAAACUGCUUUUAUAAGGGAAUAAAGUGGGUCACGUGUGACUUUUUGCAUGUACCUUAUGAAUAAGGACCGGCUAAUUCCGU
This 491-nucleotide ribosomal RNA is filed under the name uncultured bacterium. RNAcentral's name for it is "partial 16S ribosomal RNA". It matches the Rfam family "Bacterial small subunit ribosomal RNA", at positions 28 to 506 of the family's 1533-position model. The record is from RNAcentral.